This 324-nucleotide ribosomal RNA is filed under the name uncultured eukaryote. RNAcentral describes it as "partial 18S ribosomal RNA". It matches the Rfam family "Eukaryotic small subunit ribosomal RNA", at positions 1470 to 1796 of the family's 1831-position model. The record is from RNAcentral.
CCCUUAGAUGUUCUGGGCCGCACGCGCGCUACACUGAUCAGUGCAACAAGCAUCCGUCCUUGGCCGACAGGCCCGGGCAAUCUUUGAACGCUGAUCGUGAUGGGGAUAGACUUUUGCAAUUUUUGGUCUUCAACGAGGAAUUCCUAGUAAACGCAAGUCAUCAACUUGCAUUGAUUACGUCCCUGCCCUUUGUACACACCGCCCGUCGCACCUACCGAUUGAAUGGUCCGGUGAAAUCUCCGGACUGGCGUGAGUCGGAGCAAUCUGACAAACGCCGGAAAGUUGAUUAAACCUUACCAUUUAGAGGAAGGUGAAGCCGUAACA